RNAcentral lists this ribosomal RNA (520 nucleotides) under uncultured Glomus. RNAcentral describes it as "SSU rRNA". It matches the Rfam family "Eukaryotic small subunit ribosomal RNA", at positions 569 to 1092 of the family's 1831-position model. Lineage: Eukaryota; Fungi; Glomeromycota; Glomeromycetes; Glomerales; Glomeraceae. The record is from RNAcentral.
AGCAGCCGCGGUAAUUCCAGCUCCAAUAGCGUAUAUUAAAGUUGUUGCAGUUAAAAAGCUCGUAGUUGAAUUUCGGGAUCAAAAGAUCGGUCAUGCCUUGGUAUGUACUGGUUUUAUUGGUUCCUACCUUCUAAAGAACCAUAAUGUCAUUCAUUUGAUGUUAUGGGGAAUUAGGACCGUUACCUUGAAAAAUUAGAGUGUUUAAAGCAGGCUUACGCUUGAAUACAUUAGCAUGGAAUAAUGAAAUAGGACAUCAGAUUCUAUUUUGUUGGUUUCUAGGAUCGAUGUAAUGAUUAAUAGGGAUAGUUGGGGGCAUUAGUAUUCAAUUGUCAGAGGUGAAAUUCUUGGAUUUAUUGAAGACUAACUACUGCGAAAGCAUUUGCCAAGGAUGUUUUCAUUAACCAAGAACGAAAGUUAGGGGAUCGAAGACGAUCAGAUACCGUCGUAGUCUUAACCAUAAACUAUGCCGACUAGGGAUCGGAUGAUGUUAAUUUUUUAAUGACUCAUUCGGCGCCUUACG